RNAcentral lists this ribosomal RNA (432 nucleotides) under uncultured Myxococcales bacterium. RNAcentral's name for it is "bacterial SSU rRNA". It matches the Rfam family "Bacterial small subunit ribosomal RNA", at positions 29 to 505 of the family's 1533-position model. Lineage: Bacteria; Pseudomonadati; Myxococcota; Myxococcia; Myxococcales. The record is from RNAcentral.
AGCGAACGCUAGCGGCGGGCCUAACACAUGCAAGUCGAGCGCCCUUCGGGGAGCGGCGAACGGGUGAGGAACACGUAGGUAAUCUACCCUUUGGUGGGGAAUAACCCGGGGAAACUCGGGCUAAUACCGCAUAUGGUCUACGGAUCAAAGCCUUCGGGCGCCAGGGGAUGAGCCUGCGUCCCAUUACCUAGUAGGUGGGGUAACGGCCCACCUAGGGAGCGAUGGGUAGCUGGUCUGAGAGGAUGAUCAGCCACACUGGGACUGAGACACGGCCCAGACUCCUACGGGAGGCAGCAGUGGGGAAUAUUGCGCAAUGGGCGAAAGCCUGACGCAGCCACGCCGCGUGUGUGAUGAAGGCUUUCGGGUCGUAAAGCACUGUUUGGAGGGAAGAAGAUCUGACGGUACCUCCCAAGAAAGCACCGGCUAACUCCG